GACGAACGCUGGCGGCGUGCCUAACACAUGCAAGUUGAGCGACGAACCAGGGCUUGCCCUGGGGCAAAGCAGCGAACGGGUGAGUAACACGUGGGUAACCUACCCCGAUAACCGGGACAACCCGAGGAAACUCGGGCUAAUACCGGAUGUGCUCACUGGACUUCGGUUCAGUGCGUAAAGGAAGCUUCGGCCUCCGUAUCGGGAGGGGCCCGCGGCCCAUUAGUUUGUUGGUGAGGUAACGGCUCACCAAGACCGCGAUGGGUAGCUGGUCUGAGAGGACGAUCAGCCACACUGGGACUGAGACACGGCCCAGACUCCUACGGGAGGCAGCAGUGGGGAAUCUUGCGCAAUGCGCGAAAGCGUGACGCAGCAACGCCGCGUGGGGGAAGAAGGCCUUCGGGUUGUAAACCCCUUUCAGGAGGGACGAAGGUUCGGCGGUGAAUAGCCGUCCGGACUGACGGCACCUCCACAAGAAGCCCCGGCUAACUACGU
Molecule: ribosomal RNA, 492 nt
Filed under: uncultured bacterium
Lineage: Bacteria
Description: partial 16S ribosomal RNA
Rfam family: Bacterial small subunit ribosomal RNA
Source: RNAcentral